Molecule: long non-coding RNA, 582 nt
Organism: Galleria mellonella (greater wax moth)
Lineage: Eukaryota; Metazoa; Arthropoda; Insecta; Lepidoptera; Pyralidae
Exons: 2
Source: RefSeq, a predicted model, not a curated record
GGUUGGAAAUAGAGAAUUACGACUCUAGGAUUGAAUUCUUCUGAAAUUCUUUCCACUUUAUCUGCACUGUUUGUUUGACGAGAUUUAGAUCAGUUUUAUCUGGUUUAUGUUACUUUCACUCAACGUACGAUGAAUGGCGAUGUAAUGCAAUGAAUGGCUAUGCAAAUAGGAUGCUGAUGAAUCAAUGGUUCCGGCACUUACUAUUUGUAAUGGGAGGUCCGUGGCUACUACGUGGACCGGUGCUGGCAGAGAGCCGGUCUAAUUCCUUGCCAUCAGAUAUGUUGAAGCGUAAAGCAAUCAUAUAUAGUAAAAUGAAGUCAAAUAUGUCAAGAAAUGAAUGAUAAAGAAUUAUGUCAACAAAUUUUAGUAGGUACCUCCAUAUCUCCAUAAUCUCGAAUCUCGACUGAUCAAUCUAUACAUUACGCUCACAGGGGCGUCUAGUGGAAUAGAAAUUUACAUUUUAAUGUCGAUCACGUUCCACUUUAAUUAAUAACUUUGUUCAUUUAGAAUUUAGAUCAAGCAUAUUUGUAUAUUAUGUAUACGUUACUUUUAUCCUUACUCAUAUUAUAAAUGUGAAAAUAA